UCUAAGGAAAUCGAUAACAAUUUUUAUCGAUUUAAAAAAAUAGAUAAUGUGACCGUCCUCAUUUCUCUUCUUUUAAUGUCUCUGAGUAAAUGUAAGUAAGGGGCCGGUAGCUCAGGUGGUUAGAGCGCACCCCUGAUAAGGGUGAGGUCGGAAGUUCGAGUCUUCCUCGGCCCACCAAUAUUACGGGGGAUUAGCUCAGCUGGGAGAGCGCCUGAUUUGCAUUCAGGAGGUCAGCGGUUCGAUCCCGCUAUCCUCCACCAAAAUUUGAGACAUUUAGCUUUUUUAAAUCGUAAAUAAUUUUAUUAUCAAUAUCUAUAUCCGAUUGUUUUCAUAAGAUUUUGAAAACAAUCAAAACAAAAAUUUAAUUUAUUUCAGAAAAAAAAGUUUUUUUCUGUGCAUAAAU
This 403-nucleotide transfer RNA is filed under the name uncultured marine alpha proteobacterium. Its description in RNAcentral is "16S-23S intergenic spacer region". The stretch from base 101 to 174 matches the Rfam family "tRNA". The record is from RNAcentral. Lineage: Bacteria; Pseudomonadati; Pseudomonadota; Alphaproteobacteria.